AUUGAACGCUGGCGGCAGGCCUAACACAUGCAAGUCGAACGAGUGGCGGACGGGUGAGUAAUGUCUGGGAAACUGUCUGAUGGAGGGGGAAAACUAUUGGAAACGGUCGCUAAUACCGCAUACCCACAGAUGUGCCUAGAUGGGAUUAGCUAGUUGGUGGGCUAACGGCUCACCAAGGCGACGAUCCCUAGCUGGUCUGAGAGGAUGACCAGCCACACUGGAACUGAGACACGGUCCAGACUCCUACGGGAGGAAGCAGUGGGGAAUAUUGCACAAUGGGCGCAAGCCUGAUGCAGCCAUGCCGCGUGUAUGAAGAAGGCCUUCGGGUUGUAAAGUACUUUCAGCGGGGAGGCGUUACCCGCAGAAGAAGCACCGGCUAACUCCGUGCCAGCAGCCGCGGUAAUUC
Molecule: ribosomal RNA, 406 nt
Filed under: uncultured bacterium
Lineage: Bacteria
Description: partial 16S ribosomal RNA
Rfam family: Bacterial small subunit ribosomal RNA
Source: RNAcentral